UACGUAGGGUGCAAGCGUUAAUCGGAAUUACUGGGCGUAAAGCGUGCGCAGGCGGUGAUGUAAGACAGGUGUGAAAUCCCCGGGCUUAACCUGGGAACUGCAUUUGUGACUGCAUCGCUGGAGUGCGGCAGAGGGGGAUGGAAUUCCGCGUGUAGCAGUGAAAUGCGUAGAUAUGCGGAGGAACACCGAUGGCGAAGGCAAUCCUCUGGGCCUGCACUGACGCUCAUGCACGAAAGCGUGGGGAGCAAACAGG
Molecule: ribosomal RNA, 253 nt
Filed under: uncultured bacterium
Lineage: Bacteria
Description: partial 16S ribosomal RNA
Rfam family: Bacterial small subunit ribosomal RNA
Source: RNAcentral